AUCAAACCUACACGCACACAAUGAGAAAGCCCUGCACUCCAUCUUCUUUGUGAGUAACCCUAGUUCCCAAACUCCCUCCUUCCAAACACAGAUCAAAAGAAAACCCGCAGACCAUCUUUUUAUCUGCUCUCUCUGGGUUAACGAUCAGCCACCACCAACCGGUGGUGUCGUAUGGUGGUGCUGCGGCGAGAUCGAAAAAUGAGAGAGGAGAGAGAGAACAUAGCGGAGGAGAGAGAGAGGAAUCAGAGAGAGAGAGAGAGAGUAGUGAGAGGAACGGGACCCGGGCACGACAAACGGCGACAGCAGAGCCGUCACGACGGCGGUGGUGGCACUUUUGAUUCCGACAGUUUCACGGUUAGACCCCCCCCCCCCCCGUUCAUUCUCCGGAUCUUUGGUCGGACCGGCUCCGGCUCUGUUUCUGUUGAUGAUCCGCUGUUGAAGAUGAUGAUGAUGAUAAGCUGAUGAUGAUGACAGAGAACAGACGAUGGCGGUGUGUCUCUGAUGAGCUCCGUCCGAUUCUGAUGCUGUUGAAGUUCGGUUCUUUCAGUUUCAGCAGGUUCUGGUCAACAGUGACAACUGGUCAGCGUGUUCGAGAUACAUUAGUUUCAGUUCGGUUGACUCGGUCGAACCGAGUCAACCUGGUCAAGCCUGGUCAACUCAGCGAGCCAACUCGGUCAACCCAGUCGACUCGGUCAACUCAGUCAAACGUCGAGAACGUGAAAGACCCGGUAAAGUUAGCGUAGCGAAUUAGUCUACGUUAGAUUUUAUUUAGUAUACGCGAACCGAGCUCGACCCGACUAACUAACGGUUUUACAUAUAGUGAUUUUGUUUCGUAUUCGACGUUUUGAUAUAUUUAACGUAAAAAUAAUAUAAUGUUUGUUGAGUGAUUGCUGAAUUUUGACGACUAACGACAACUUGAGUUGUCGGGGUUAUUCCAAAAACAGAGGAAGCUCUGUCCGUUUUUCGUUAAAAA
Helianthus annuus (common sunflower) is the source of this 973-nucleotide long non-coding RNA. RefSeq lists it as uncharacterized. The transcript has 2 exons. The record is from RefSeq and is a predicted model, not a curated record. NCBI's taxonomy places the organism in Eukaryota, Viridiplantae, Streptophyta, Magnoliopsida, Asterales, Asteraceae.